This is a non-coding RNA of Nothobranchius furzeri (turquoise killifish), 1122 nucleotides long. The record is from RefSeq and is a predicted model, not a curated record. Lineage: Eukaryota; Metazoa; Chordata; Actinopteri; Cyprinodontiformes; Nothobranchiidae.
UGCGUGCGCGCACGUGCGCGUGGUUCGUUCGUUCGUGUCUCCAGGCUAGUAAGUACUGAGGGCUUCAUCUAUCUAAAAGGAGUCAUUUCCAUCUGAAUGUGGCAGCACCGGGACACAGCAGCAGAGCGAGUCAACAUCCAGAAGACUGGAGCCGUGUUUCACUGACAGGCUGUCAGACUAACGCCCUGAUGAGCUCAGCUGGGACAAACUGGUCUGAUGUUUAGGAACACAGAACGUUCAGAUGUUGGAGCUCACGUCACCUACUGAGGAAGGAGACCCACCAGUAAAGAGACGGUAGCUGGACCAGACCAAAAAUAUGACGAUGACAUCAUGGAACUGGUCUUUGGAAAAGUUUUCCCUGAACCAACUCCGUUUCUAGAUGAGGUAGAGAAGAUCUGCAUCUCACCAACUCUCUGGUCUCAGUAUUCAGACAAUGGAGGUCUCCCACUGUUAUCCAGGACCAGUUUGAAGCCCACAUACUUCCCCUCCCUCAUCAUCAGGAAACAUCAAUCCGUAUCCUGAGGACAACAGAAGACGGCAGGAGGACAGGAACUCUGAGACCUAGACACCACCAGCACCGAGACACAAAGCACCUGUGUGCACAACGCCUGUUUAACUACUAAAGCCUGUUUAUUAUAUUGUUCUACUUAUUUGCUGUGAGGUUAAUACUUAGAAAAUUUGUAUAUUAAUGUAAACAAUUAAAAAAAAUCACUGAUUGUAUGUUUUCUUUUAGAUGUAAUGGUCCAAACUCAGCCUUGUAGACAUUUAUUGCAUCCUGUAGGUAAAUACACAGAACAGGCUCAGGUCCAGGAUGACCCAGCAUGCUCUUCUUCCAUUCUGGCUGUUAGGGAUUUUAUCAAUAACUCAUUGCCUACUGAUGUUUUCACCUAACGGUAUUUAUUUAGAAUGCAGGUAAGAUUUAACUAUAUUUGUUAGCAAAGCAGACUGAUCUUGGGAAUUUCACUGCAGCACUGAUGUCCACCUCUCUGUACACAUUAGAGAGAAUUACCACUUUACAGCUAAACACAUUUAAUAAAGAUAUAGGCUACGCAUUGCAGACAAUAAAAACAAAGUUGUAAGCAUUAGAAUUAUAAUGAUCACAUUAAAGAACAUUUGGAGGAA